CGGCGGACGGGUGAGUAACGCGUGGGUAACCUGCCUCAUACAGGGGGAGUAACAGUUGGAAACGGCUGCUAAUACCGCAUAAGCGCACAGUACCGCAUGGUACCGUGUGAAAAACUCCGGUGGUAUGAGAUGGACCCGCGCCUGAUUAGGUAGUUGGUGGGGUAACGGCCUACCAAGCCGACGAUCAGUAGCCGACCUGAGAGGGUGACCGGCCACAUUGGGACUGAGACACGGCCCAAACUCCUACGGGAGGCAGCAUG
RNAcentral lists this ribosomal RNA (260 nucleotides) under uncultured bacterium. RNAcentral's name for it is "partial 16S ribosomal RNA". It matches the Rfam family "Bacterial small subunit ribosomal RNA", at positions 96 to 353 of the family's 1533-position model. The record is from RNAcentral.